This 252-nucleotide ribosomal RNA is filed under the name uncultured bacterium. RNAcentral describes it as "partial 16S ribosomal RNA". It matches the Rfam family "Bacterial small subunit ribosomal RNA", at positions 524 to 776 of the family's 1533-position model. The record is from RNAcentral.
UACGGAGGGUGCAAACGUUGCUCGGAAUCAUUGGGCGUAAAGCGCACGUAGGCGGCGCGUUAAGUCGGGUGUGAAAGCCCUGGGCUCAACCCAGGAAGUGCAUCGAAACUGGCGCGCUUGAAUAUGGAAGAGGGUCGCGGAAUUCCCGGUGUAGAGGUGAAAUUCGUAGAUAUCGGGAGGAACACCAGUGGCGAAGGCGGCGACCUGGGCCAAUAUUGACGCUGAGGUGCGAAAGCGUGGGGAGCAAACAGG